AGUGAACGCUGGCGGUAGGCCUAACACAUGCAAGUCGAACGGCAGCACAGUAAGAGCUUGCUCUUACGGGUGGCGAGUGGCGGACGGGUGAGGAAUACAUCGGAAUCUACUUUUUCGUGGGGGAUAACGUAGGGAAACUUACGCUAAUACCGCAUACGACCUACGGGUGAAAGCAGGGGAUCUUCGGACCUUGCGCGAUUGAAUGAGCCGAUGUCGGAUUAGCUAGUUGGCGGGGUAAAGGCCCACCAAGGCGACGAUCCGUAGCUGGUCUGAGAGGAUGAUCAGCCACACUGGAACUGAGACAAGGUCCAGACUCCUACGGGAGGCAGCAGUGGGGAAUAUUGGACAAUGGGCGCAAGCCUGAUCCAGCCAUACCGCGUGGGUGAAGAAGGCCUUCGGGUUGUAAAGCCUUUUUGUUGGGAAAGAAAAGCAGCAGGUUAAUACCCCGCUGUUCUGAAGGUACCAAAAGAAUAAGCACCGGCUAACUUCGUG
This 492-nucleotide ribosomal RNA is filed under the name uncultured bacterium. Its description in RNAcentral is "partial 16S ribosomal RNA". It matches the Rfam family "Bacterial small subunit ribosomal RNA", at positions 29 to 507 of the family's 1533-position model. The record is from RNAcentral.